Long non-coding RNA from Achroia grisella, 1125 nucleotides. RefSeq lists it as uncharacterized. Lineage: Eukaryota; Metazoa; Arthropoda; Insecta; Lepidoptera; Pyralidae. The record is from RefSeq and is a predicted model, not a curated record. The transcript has 6 exons.
CAUUUUUCCAAGGAUAUCGGUAAUUAAAAAUGCGACAUUACCUAAUUUAUGGAAAAUUGUCAAAAUGAUCUCUCGCUUUCACCGGAAUAUUCAUUGUUGAUGUGUAUAAAUAUAUCUAUUCCAGAAUUCGAAGGCGGCUCAGUAUACGAGAGAGAGAUGCGUAUCGAUCGCGUGCGCUGCUGACUCGGCAGGUGGCUGGUACGCUUCAGGGUGGCGUAGCCUGGAACACGCACCAAGCAAACUUACAGUAUCUUUAACAAUUAUCAAAACAUCAAGAAAAGAACAAAGGUGAAAAUAAAUUUUAAACUCAAAAGUUUGUAUGGCUCGGGGAUCAACUGUCGGCAACAUUCCAUGACAAUUGGAGCAUCGAUACGCUUUAAGCUGAAACCUCACUAAGCAAGCGAUAGAAUGAACUAACGUCGUUCACACUAUAUACAAGCUGAAGCGACACAACGAGCUGAUAUCUGACAAUUUAAGAAAAACAAGAGCACCAUAAUUCUCGUGCCGGUUGAUCAGAUACUGCCGUAAUGGCAAUAAUGGAUCCUGGUCAGCGGCCCGCAUGCAAAUAAAUCUGCGGCCCGAUGCAAUGAUGUGUGGAAAAUGGGGCUCACCCCUUUUGCCCAGUCGUGUCCCACCUACGCUGAUCUGCUGGCCCGAUGCUGUUUUAGUAACAAAUGUAAUGAACUAAACUUUUUACGCAGCCGCUAUUGAAGGAGUCAUUAUGUCUUUGGUGGAUGAGUAUUAUGUAUAUGUAGAUAAACCUGAGGUUAUAAACGGCACGGUACAUAAAGAUUAAAUAAACCUUCGCAGUCUACGCUCAAUUAGCCAUGAAACUAAUAGGGAGGCGGUGAGAAAGAAUGAGGUGCAUUAAAGGUGUUUGUAGUACGCCUGGGCACAGAGCAGCCAUCUGUCCUGCCGUAGUCCCACAAACUCACGAUAGGGCAGUCAGUACCUCCGAAUAAUGGACACAAGACGAGAGGGGACCGACUAUAAGUCACAAAGAGCUAUCCUUUAUCAGCGAAUCAAUGACCGCCCGUUAUGAUACAUGGGACUUACCGGGUACAGUUUUAGCUAUCUCUGAAGAAAUGUAAUAUUUAUAAGGGUAAGCCUCGUUAAAAUCUUUAU